CGGCUGCUCAGUAACACGUAGUCAACUUACCCUAUGGACGAGGAUAAUCUCGGGAAACUGAGCAUAAUACUCGAUAGAUCAUAAUGCCUGGAAUGGUUUAUGGUUGAAAUGAUUCAUCGCCAUAGGAUGGGACUGCGGCCUAUCAGCUUGUUGGUGAGGUAAUGGCCCACCAAGGCGAUUACAGGUACGGGCUCUGAGAGGAGAAGCCCGGAGAUGGGUACUGAGACAAGGACCCAGGCCCUAUGGGGCGCAGCAGGCGAGAAAACUUUGCAAUGUGCGAAAGCACGACAAGGUUAAUCCGAGUGAUUUCUGCUAAAGAAAUCUUUUGCAAGUCAUAAAACCACUAGUGAAUAAGGGGUGGGCAAGUUCUGGUGUCAGCCGCCGCGGUAAAACCAGCACCUCAAGUGGUCAGGAGGAUUAUUGGGCCUAAAGCAUCCGUAGCCGGCUCUGUAAGUUUUCGGUUAAAUCCAUGUGCUCAACGCAUGGGCUGCCGAAAAUACUGCAUAGCUAGGGAGUGGGAGAGGUAGACGGUACUCGGUAGGAAGGGGUAAAAUCCUUUGAUCUAUCGAUGACCACCUGUGGCGAAGGCGGUCUACCAGAACACGUUCGACGGUGAGGGAUGAAAGCUGGGGGAGCAAACCGGAUUAGAUACCCGGGUAGUCCCAGCUGUAAACGAUGCAGACUCGAUGAUGCAUUGGCAUAUAGCCAGUGCAGUGUCGCAGGGAAGCCGUUAAGUCUGCCGCCUGGGAAGUACGUACGCAAGUAUGAAACUUAAAGGAAUUGGCGGGGGAGCAG
RNAcentral lists this ribosomal RNA (795 nucleotides) under uncultured marine thaumarchaeote. RNAcentral describes it as "bacterial SSU rRNA". It matches the Rfam family "Archaeal small subunit ribosomal RNA", at positions 83 to 879 of the family's 1478-position model. The record is from RNAcentral. Lineage: Archaea; Thermoproteati; Nitrososphaerota.